UGGAGACAGGUUUUUCCAAAGCUCCUCCCCUGGCUCAGGCAAACACACCUGACCUUUCUCUCGCUGGGCCCAGGGUGAGGCAGAGCAGCCAGGAACAAGGUGGGGUGAACCAGACAGAGCUGGAGUGCUCUCCCACCCCUGCUUUGUCCAGCCUCCCCGCCAAGCCCAUGAUUCCACGCAAGGUAAGGCCCUCCUCCCAGAGGAAGGGGCCAACAGCCUGGUGACCUUGGAGUGUGCUUCGCCUGGCACUCCCCUCACACCGCUCCCUACAGCUUGUACUCUGCCUCUGACUCUCUUCCAAGAACAAUUUGGCAAGUUCUAAUCUACAUCUUGCAAAAAAAACAAAAAACAAAAAACAGAGAGGUAGGAGGGCCACAGCACCUGGGGUCCCAGAAGGCAGACUGACCUAUUCCUACAGCAGGGGCCUGGGGGACCGAAGGCAGAAGCAAGAGCACACGUAGAGAAGGCACCGAGCAAGCGGAUCUGUGCGGUUCUUCGGUUCUAAACAACUUGCGGAAUCCAGGCGGACUCAGGGCCUGUGUGGCCACUGGGCAGGGAAGGUGGUGGUUCCCAGGCCCAUCGAAACCACAAGGAGCACUGGCUUCUGUCUCCUGCUAUAGCUUCAGGUGCCAGGUUCACUGGGGUCUUAGAAGUUGGGGCUGGAAGGAGGUGGGCCCAGAGGGUCCCACUCCUUAAGUGCUGGCUUCAAGAUGGAAGAUAUUAAGACGUUCCAGGGGUCGAUUCUUUUUUCAAGACCCUAAGAUGUUCCAGGCUUCUGUAGAGCAGGCACAGUCCUUCCCUCCAGGAAUUGUAUCAAUAAAGACACAAAACACUAGAGGCAGAAGUUGCACACGGGCAACCUCCACACAGAAUCUGCC
This 878-nucleotide long non-coding RNA is filed under the name Pan troglodytes (chimpanzee). RNAcentral describes it as "long non-coding RNA NONPTRT002868". The record is from RNAcentral. Lineage: Eukaryota; Metazoa; Chordata; Mammalia; Primates; Hominidae.